UACGUAGGUGGCAAGCGUUGUUCGGAAUUACUGGGCGUAAAGCGCGCGUAGGCGGACCUGCAAGUCGGGGGUGAAAGCCCGAGGCUCAACCUCGGAACUGCCUUCGAUACUGCGGGUCUCGAGUCCGGGAGAGGUGAGUGGAAUUCCUAGUGUAGAGGUGAAAUUCGUAGAUAUUAGGAAGAACACCAGUGGCGAAGGCGGCUCACUGGCCCGGUACUGACGCUGAGGCGCGAAAGCGUGGGGAGCAAACAGG
RNAcentral lists this ribosomal RNA (253 nucleotides) under uncultured bacterium. Its description in RNAcentral is "partial 16S ribosomal RNA". It matches the Rfam family "Bacterial small subunit ribosomal RNA", at positions 524 to 776 of the family's 1533-position model. The record is from RNAcentral.